UAGGGAAUCUUCGGCAAUGGACGAAAGUCUGACCGAGCAACGCCGCGUGAGUGAAGAAGGUUUUCGGAUCGUAAAACUCUGUUGUUAGAGAAGAACAAGGACGUUAGUAACUGAACGUCCCCUGACGGUAUCUAACCAGAAAGCCACGGCUAACUACGUGCCAGCAGCCGCGGUAAUACGUAGGUGGCAAGCGUUGUCCGGAUUUGUUGGGCGUAAAGCGAGCGCAGGCGGUUUCUUAAGUCUGAUGUGAAAGCCCCCGGCUCAACCGGGGAGGGUCAAUGGAAGCUGGGAGACUGGAGUGCAGGAGAGGAGAGUGGAAUUCCAUGUGUAGCGGUGAAAUGCGUAGAUAUAUGGAGGAACACCAGUGGCGAAGGCGGCUCGCUGGUCUGUAACUGACGCUGAGGCUCGAAAGCGUGGGGAGCAAACAGG
This 429-nucleotide ribosomal RNA is filed under the name Gemmatimonadota bacterium. RNAcentral's name for it is "Gemmatimonadetes bacterium partial 16S ribosomal RNA". It matches the Rfam family "Bacterial small subunit ribosomal RNA", at positions 355 to 776 of the family's 1533-position model. Lineage: Bacteria; Pseudomonadati; Gemmatimonadota. The record is from RNAcentral.